RNAcentral lists this long non-coding RNA (6287 nucleotides) under Homo sapiens (human). RNAcentral's name for it is "non-protein coding lnc-FSIP2-4:1". Lineage: Eukaryota; Metazoa; Chordata; Mammalia; Primates; Hominidae. The record is from RNAcentral.
AGUAACUUUUGACUUUCUUUUAAAGUUAAAAGCAUAAACAGAGAUGUGUUGCCUUUAGAAACUCUUUUGAAAGAGCAAGCUUUAUAGCAAUUGUUUAAUCUAUUAUUGAUAUAUAAUAUAAAUGUGACGUACCUACUACAGCAAUUCAUUUAUUGAGUAUAAAUUAGAAGGUCUUUUCUUAUUCAAUUAAAUUACAAGGUACCACUCAGCAGCUAGCUCUCCAACUUUACCUCAAGUUGCAGAGAAUAUGAGUAGUACUCCAAGUGUUCCUUUGUUAGGCGAUGUUUUUGUGUUGCAUCACUCAGAGAUCAACACUCGCUUGAACUGCUGUCAUUAUGGAGCUUGAAUAGGAGAAAUUCACUGGAGCCAUCAUUAAUGCUUUUUAAUGAAAUAUUAAAUUGCUGUAGCACAGAGUAUAUGGAGUGAGCCAGUUUAACAGCAGUCUAAGCAAAAAAGAAAACCAAGCCAUAGUUAAAACCCUGGUGUUCCAGAAAAGACUCCUCUCUUACUUUAUUCCUCACCUCAGGGGCAUCAUUAACCUUUUUCUGCACAAACUCUUUUUCUCCUUUUUCCUUGAGUGAAUUUACGUGUUUGGUUUUAUGCCUGGCUUGUUUUCUCUGCUCACCCCUGGAUAAUUGAUGUUUGAGACUGUCUUUGCUUCCUGAGGUUAACUCAUCUACCUCUGGUAUCCACUCUGUGCAAUGUAGGCACAAAUUCUGUGGUUCGCCCUUUUACUAAUUUGGCCCAAAAGGUGAGUUUAGGCAGCUGUUUUUGUCAGUUUUCUAUUGCUAUCCCAAAAAUGUAGCGGUGUAAACAACUACAUUUUAGUAAUAUAUAACUCUGGGUUAGCAAUUUAUUUUGUGGUCAACUGUGUGGUUUUCUGCUGUCUGUGUCAGGGUCACUUAUGUAACUGCAAUGAUAUGGUGGAUCAACUGCACAUGGAUGGCCUGAGAUACCCUCAUGUCUGGAGGCUGCAGCUGGCUGUCAGGUGGGCCAUGUGUCUCUGGCAGACUGGCCUGGACUUUCUCACAAAGUGGCAGCUUUUCAAGAGAUUAAGCUUCAAUGUGUAAGCAUUUGUAAAGCCUGUGCUUGUAUCACAUUUACUGGUGUCCCAUUUGCCAAAGUAAGUCAUGUGGUCAAGCUCAGAGUCCCAUAUUAAGGGGUAAUAUAGCAGAACAAAGACACAGGAAUUCAUGUGUGAAUUGGAUCUAUUAACCUUUUAAAAGACAGUUGAUUAAAAGACAGUUUUUUAUAAAGUCAUUCCCUUUUCUGCUUUAUUGUGCUAGUCGGUAAGAUGAAGGGUAAAGAUGAAAGUGGGUAAAUGGGUAAAUCUGAGUAAAUCUUUGAUUUUUCACAUGCAUCAUAUUUCAUUUUAUGGGAAGUUUAUUUAACACCAGUCAAGACCACCGCAAAUUUGAACAGAUCACUAAGCUAAUUAACCAGAACAUUCAGCUCUUUUAAAGCACCUGAUUUGGAAGCUCAAAAUCUGUGUUCAAAUUUCAGUUCUUGAAGUUGAAUAAUUGAUCUCUUGAGCUUUUAGAGUGUCUGUAUGUCACCAUCAUUAACAAAUCAUCGAUUCCACAUCCCCUUCUCUGACUCACUCUUUUCUAUUUUUCCAGCACACUUAAUCAAACUUCUCAAUUAUAACACUUACCAUUGAGAAGCUUCAUGCACUUGCCCCUCUCCCAUAAUCCUCAGUGUGUUUUCAGCUUUCUUCUUUUCCUGCUUAAGUUCCAGAGACAAUCAUUAAAAUCAUUUUGUUAUCAAUGUCUUUAAUUUCUAUGUCCCUCUCUCCAUCCCUUCUCGCAUGUUGGUCAAGACCCUACUAAUUUCCUUUGAGCUUACAUCCUGCCAAUUGAGGGUUGUUAGAUAAAAUCACAUAGAUUGGCAUUAUAUAUUCCUAACAGUAUUAAUUGAGUAGUCAACAAUGUCCAUCAAUCUUACUCUAUUUUCAUAUGGUGCUAAAAUAUUUAUAUCAAUGACUUUUUAAUGCAUUUUCCACACUAAUCAAACCUCUCACUCCCUUCAUCUUUUCAUCACACUUUUUAGCUGAUGACCUCAAUUACUAUUUUGUAAAAUCUUGAAGCCAUCAGAUAAGAACUCAACUCAUCUCAUCACCAAACUGUAAACUUAACCUGAACAGUCACCAAUACUCUCUUUAUUCACUCUUGUUAUAAUGGAUGUCAGAGUUUGGUUUCCCUUCUUCUAUAAUCCUAGCACUCUUAUUGUAUUUGGGAUCCUAUCUUACUCAUUUUUUAGUCACAUCCAUUGACUAUAUCUUCCCUUUCUACACAUUGUUGUACGUGAGUAUUCAAACAUUCUCUGGCAUCUCCCAUAUUAAAGAAAAAUAAAUCUCUCCUUGAAUCCCAAAUUACUUUCCAUAUGCUAUAAUAUUUUCUUUUUCAUUUCAAGUCAAAUUUAUUGGGAAGAAUCUUUAUAUAUGCUACUUUAUCUCCUAAGCCCAUGUUGAAUCUGAACUGACUCUCCAUCUGGCUUCUACCUUUGCCAUUAUAUCAAAACUGCUCCUACCAAAGACACCAAAAAUAUGUUCUGCCCACCCCAACCUUUCUUGAAUAAUUGGAUAAUUCCUAUUCAAGUCUCAUAUUUUGUUUCCUCAAUGAUACCUUAAUAAUUAAUUAAAUUAUGCUGUCAUAGUACUCUGUAUUUAUUCUUCUUAGCAUAUAUCUACAUAGAUUAUAAUUCAAUACUUGUUGUUGCUCAAAGGCACAUCACUCUAUGGUGGUACAAUUAAAUAAAAAUUCUGACCAAGAAGCAUUACUGAGUACUGAGAGUAACACUAUCAAUACAUAGCAAAACUUAUCAAAAGAAAUCUGCUUAUUGCAACUCCUCCCCUAAAGAUUCAUUCAACAGUGUGAUGGCUCUAAUCCCUUUUUCACUUUUCUCUGCCUAAAACAAUCUGAAUUGUACCUCCACCUAAUCAACUAUCCUCUUCAUUUCUUACUCAAUUAUCUCGCUACCUCUUUACUAUAUAUAGAAAUCUAGUCUUUUUCAGCAGCAUUAAAAAAAUGUCUUCUAAGAAGGAUAGAGACCUUGUAUCCUUCUAUAAAUGGGAAAGGGUUAUAAACUCUUCAGUAAUGUUUAAUUUAUAACCUUACUACUUACUUAGUCCCUAUCUUUCUUAGAUCUCUUACCUAUAAUUGAGGGAGUGAAUGAGUGAAUAAAUAUUUGAAAAAGAAAUUGGUAAUGACAUCGUGAUUCACUGACAAUAUGCCAAGAAAGAAGAAUGAAAACUGUUAGAAUUAAAUAUUUGUGUUAUUUUAAGGUUUUGAAACUCUGCCCUUUCUUUUAGAGGUCUAAGUCAUUAGAUCCCAAUAUCUUUAUUUAAUUUUUAUAUGGUAGAGAUCUAGGAAGAACAUAAUUGAGACAUGUCAUAUAAUUACUUCCUGAUUUGAUGUGCCAUUUUAAUUAAUUUGGGGUUAAGUUCCCAUACUAUAGGAUAAAAUGGUGGGGUUCAUGUUAUCUCUUUAAUUUUCCCAUUACUCUGGGGAGGAGAAGGGAGAGUACUUAAGCUUUUCAUAUUAAAGUUUCUAAGCUGAUAAAAAUUCAAGGUUAGCACAGAUUUUGUGUGGUUCAAGUAAGACACACACUAUCUGAGGAAUAUUUAGGCGAUCAAAUAUAUUUUUAGAACUGUCUCAGAGUUUUUUUUUUCUCUGACAAAAUAAUACAGUUUCUAGGAAACCACUGAAAGACUAUUUUUUAAGUUAGCUUCAUGAUGAGAAUAUUUUAAAAACCAUCAGUACGUAUUUUUUACUGAAACAUUUCUCUAUUCAAAACAAGCAGAUGCACUCUGACUCAAUAUCAAACUCAAAAUCAUUACUGUUUAUAUCCAAGAUUAUCAAGUGGCUAAACUUAUAUCUGCCUGCUGUUUGUCAACACUUCCUCCUCAGCUGGCCAAGUGCACAGUGACUUUGUUUGACAUCAUUUGGCACACAAAUUCUCCAAGUUUAAUUCUUCAGGCCAGCACAGUUGCAAGUUUCUUUAGUCCUUCCCCUCCUCUGGAUUAUUCCAGAACACCUCCCCUUUUAAAAGGGGAACUGCUGCCCAAUUAUCUAGGGCACAGCUCUCUAUGCAUAAAUCUCUAGUAAGGUACACAUGGAUUUUUCUCUCCCCAAAAUAACUUCUUGAGAAUUUCAUGCCCCAGGGAAUAAUGAAGAAAAUGUGAUUCAGUUCCAUUUCCACUUAAUGACAUAUAUUAACUUUGUAAUGAAUUCAUAAACUUAAGUAACUAAUUAUUCUAAACCAGGAGUUAGCAAACUUUUUCCAUAAAGAGCCAAAUAGUAAACAUUGUUGGCAUUGUGAGCCAUAUGAUCCCUUUCACAACUAUUCAACUCUACCACUGUAGCUCAAGAACAGCCAUAAACAAUUCAUAAAAGGAUGAGUGUGACUGUGUAACAAUAAACUCCAUUUACAAAACAAAUGGUGUGCCAGGUUUGACCCAUAGGCCAUAGUUUCCUGACCCCUCUUCAAAACUAACUAUUAACAUGUAGGGAGCAUACUGGCAUAAAUGAAAAAACACGGUUAUUGAAGUCAAGCCAACAUGUAUUCAUAUCCCGGCUCCAGCAAUUUAUAUAAUUUGGGAUAAAUGAUAAGACCUAUUUAAAUCUUCUUUGUCAUCUGUUAAAGGAAAUUGUAUCUCCCAUCCCACACACGUUCUAUGAAUAUUAGAUGAGAAAAAAUGUUUAUAAAAAGUUUUAACAGAAAUUUUUACAACAAUGGACAUAAAAAUAACAUUGCUAUUUAUGUGAAUAAUAACCAUUAUUUCAAAUUCUAUGAAACUUACCUCAGAUUCAGUUUCAUGCUUGACUGAGAAUGGCUUGUCCUUAUAUACACUAGAUACUUUAAAAACUGUGCUAGUAAGUGAAAUGCAAGAAACACAUGAUUUUAGUUAACUAUUUGAGCAGUAAUUGUCAAAUGCACACCCCAAGCAUUGCCUAAUAUUUUCAGAGGUCAUGAAAAAAUAACAUCAGUGAUAAACAACAACAACAAAAAACAGUGUUAGUGACUUUUACAUAAGAAUUAGUUUCAACCUAAAUACCUGCUCCUCUAAUUCAUCUUGUUGUCUCAAUUCUUUCAUGCAAGUAGUUUUCAUCUGAGUACCUGCAGCAAAUCCAGAAUUUGAAAAUAAUCAGAUAGAACAGUGUGCAAUUUAAGGUCCCAACGACAAGUACAGAAAUGUUGUUUUAUGCUUGAGGGAAUUGUGCAUAGACCAUCUGCUGCCUUGGUGAUUCCCAUGAUGCCUGUCAAAGCAUGCAUGCAUGCAUGAAGAAGCAGAGAAUAAAAAGGGAGAUAUUCUCAGAGCAAUUGGAUCUGGCAUCUAGGAAACCACAGCAUCCACACUGGACAUCAGUCAAACUAAUAAUUAAGCCCAUGUGGUGUAUUUUAGAUCCACCUACUGAAUCCAGAUUCUAAGAGAAGAAUGCCAUUGAGAGUUUUUAAUAUUCUAACGUCACUGUGCAUUUCAUGCAGCUUGAAGUAAGAGAAAAAUUGAAUAGACCCUCUUGCCGUAUUUGUACUGCAUUAUGAGACACAAUGGAAAUAACAUGGAAAAUGUAACUUUUACUAAAAGAGAAGGCUGUUUUACUAAGAGUCUGCAACACGAUGGUCCCUGCUAUCUUUGAACUUACUCCUAAAGCAGCACAAGAUUUCUCUUUGCCUAUUUAUCAUAUAAUAAAAGUACUUAUGCUUAAUAAUACCUGCAAACAUUCAGGGUUUGACAUGUGAGUAAAAGGCAAAACAAAACAGAGUAUGUGACAGAUUCAUAGAAUAGACAUACAGAAUUGGAAAUUCUCUACCCCCCAACAACAAAAAAUAGUAAAAAUUAGGAAUUGCCAAUUACAUCUGUCCCCAAUGGUAUUUAGUAAGAGAUUCUGGACUUGAACUACCUAUGCAGGCCUUAUUGUAAGUUAUUUCUGGAAGUAGGUACAAAGGAAGAAAAUAAAGUAUUUACAAGUUUAUCUACAUGAGUUAUUUGUCCCUAAAGAAUGCCUUUUAAAUGUAAGAGUAAUACUUUUAUUCCAGAGGGCAAUAAUUCUAUUUUUUAAACAGAUUGUACUUCAUAUGUCCAGAAAUUGUAUUCUUGGAAGCUACUCACUAGAACUUAUAACUAGAAAUGAUUCCUAUAUGGAAAAUGGAAGCAUGACAGAAUGUGAUGGGCUGCUGUUAGAGUUAGUACAACCCUCAUAAGAGCAUGCCAUUCUUAUUAGUUGCAUAUUUGGUAGAUAUACAUUAAUUUAUCUUUAAAUAAUAACCCAGGGUAUUGAUUCUUA